CCGAUUUGGAAACUAGAAAAAGGAUCCAAGCCGGAUCCCAAUCCCUCCGCCUCCCACCUCUUCCGUACAAAUCCGGCGCCCGAUCCCAUCGAUCCCAGUGGUGAUUCCCCCACCUAACCUGUAGCUUCGAAGACGCCUCGCGCGAGGGAGCGGCGGCGAUAGCUGGCGCGAGGGAGCGUGCGGUGCCGGCGGCGACCUAACUUGUAGCAUUGAAUCCACCUCACGCGAGCGACCGGCGGCGAUAGCCGGCGCGAGGGAGCGCGCGGCACUGGCGGCGAUGACCCCACCUAACCUGUAGCUUUGAAUCCGCCUCAAGCUCUGGAUUCGAUUCGCUUCGUCACGAUGGAGGCCAGCGAUUCUCGUAAAAAAUGGCACCUGAUGAAGACGAUGAUGACCUGACUAGAUGGACUGUAUGUGUCGACACACAAAACUCCCCCGUGCAGAAUGACCCAAGUUUAUGUGUUAAAGCAGUGGUGGUGCAAACUGCAAGGUAUCCACCACAGGCGCCAAUGAAUGAAAGAGUUACUAGACGCAAUUGCAAACAUGUGCCGCGCCUGAAGAACCAUCAACACCAAUCAAGCGUUUUGGAGACAAUCAAUGAGGUGGAUGAUGGACCUGCACAAGAUGAUGAUCACAUUGAAUGUUGGACUAAGAUUGUUCCUCAAGAUGACUGCGAGCGAGAACUCGAGCAAUUCUUUAUUCUAAGGCCUAAAACACGAUGUCCGUGAUAUCCACAAGCUCAAGAAGACCAGUCUGGACAGAGCGAUGAUAAGGCAGUAGCAGUUCGGUUAUAAAAGGCAGCGACAGUCAAGAGAAAAACUGGAGAAUGGGGAGGACAAGAAUCCAGCAAGGGAGAAGGGCAAAAAAGAAAGCCGGUGAUCAAGUGACCGUGUUCAGUGCUGCAUUAUGAUGCUCCUGCUUCAUCUUUUGUGUCUGUUUCGUCUUCCCGAGAAUAAAAACUUCCAAGGAAACAAGCAAUUAGAGUGAAAAGGAGAACUUAGAAAAGAAGUAGAGUGCCUAGGAGCUGAUUUGCAACAAGGUAGAGAGAUGGAUCAUGCUCAGUCUGUUGCUCAACUGAAUACCUUGACCACUGAACUAGCCACUUACAAUGAACAAGAAACAGAGACCACUACUCAAUUAGCUCUUGCCCCCAUGCUGCCAGCGGCGCGAUCCACGGUGCGUAGUUUGCCAAUGAUCAGUUUCAUGGAGAAGCUAGAGUUAGUUUCAGGGACUGGCUGCAGUUAUCUUGCGUCCAAAAAAUUUAAGUGAUGUACACAACUAUGAUUUUGCAAAGCCCCUGCUUGCCUGAGGUACAAAAAAUAGCAAUCUAAUGAGAGGGUUCAGUUUG
This is a long non-coding RNA of Triticum dicoccoides, 1348 nucleotides long. RefSeq lists it as uncharacterized. Lineage: Eukaryota; Viridiplantae; Streptophyta; Magnoliopsida; Poales; Poaceae. The transcript has 7 exons. The record is from RefSeq and is a predicted model, not a curated record.